This 23-nucleotide transfer RNA is filed under the name Uroplatus lineatus. Its description in RNAcentral is "tRNA-Cys". The record is from RNAcentral. Lineage: Eukaryota; Metazoa; Chordata; Lepidosauria; Squamata; Gekkonidae.
CUAGUAAAAAACGGGAGAAGUCC